This 1404-nucleotide ribosomal RNA is filed under the name Limnonectes taylori. Its description in RNAcentral is "partial 16S rRNA". It matches the Rfam family "Bacterial large subunit ribosomal RNA", at positions 137 to 2594 of the family's 2925-position model. Lineage: Eukaryota; Metazoa; Chordata; Amphibia; Anura; Dicroglossidae. The record is from RNAcentral.
CUAAAAAUUAAGCCUAUUAAUCCUUUAUAAAAACCACACUCAACUAAACCACAAUAAAACAUUUUAUCAGUUUAGUAAAGGCGAUUAAAAAACUUUCUAGCGCUUUACUUUUAGUACCGCAAGGGAAAAAUGAAAUAGUUUUGAAAUAGUCUUUAAGCAAAAAACAGCAGAGAUUAUUACUCGUACCUUUUGCAUCAUGGUUUAGCCAGUCUUGUUCAAGCAAAGCGAAACAUCAGUUUGACCCCCCGAAACUAGGCGAGCUACUUUAAAACAGCUUAAUAGAGCCAACCCGUCUCUGUCGCAAAAGAGUGGGAUGAUUUUUAAGUAGAGGUGAAAAGCCUACCGAGCUUAGAGAUAGCUGGUUAUUCAGGAAAAGAAUUUUAGUUCGACCUUAAGUUUUUUUAUUAUUUUAAAAACCCCCCCUUAAACUUAAGAGCUAUUCAAAUAAGGCACAGCUUAUUUGAAAAAGGAUACAACCUAUUAAAAAGGGUAAAAAAAUUUAUACAUGACAAGUGGGCCUAGAAGCAGCCACCUUUAAGAAAGCGUUUAAGCUCCUCUUUCCCCCCUCACCUUAAUUCCUAAAUAUCCAUUUAACCCUUUAUUUGUACUGAAUGAUUCUAUACCAUAUAGAAAUCCCCCUGCUAAAACUAGUAACAAGAAAUUGAUUUUCUCCAAAAUAUAUGUAUAAACCAAAAUGGACAAACCAUUGGUUAUUAACGUCAAUAAAAAAAUAUAGCAACUUCACUAGAAAACACUAUUAACCCAUACGUUAACCUUACACAAGUAUAUUUCUGGAAAGAUUAAAAGAAAGAGAAGGAACUCGGCAAAUCAUAACCCCGCCUGUUUACCAAAAACAUCGCCUCUUGAAUAAUCAUAAGAGGUCCAGCCUGCCCAGUGAUAUAAUUUAACGGCCGCGGUACCCUGACCGUGCAAAGGUAGCAUAAUCACUUGUUCUCUAAAUAAGGACUAGUAUCAACGGCAUCACGAGGGUUAUACUGUCUCCUCUUUUUAAUCAGUGAAAUUGACCUCUCCGUGAAGAGGCGGGGAUAGUUAUACAAGACGAGAAGACCCCAUGGAGCUUUAAACCCAAUGACAGCCCACACAAGUUUUACCUUAAAAUGAAAAAGCAAUGUUUAUUGGUUUUAGGUUGGGGUGACCACGGAGAAAAACCAAACCUCCACGAUGAAUGGACCUUAAUUCUAAUCUACGAGAUACUACUCCAAGAAUCAAUAAUUUGACAUAAUAUGAUCCGACAACGAUCAACGAACCAAGUUACCCUGGGGAUAACAGCGCAAUCCAUUUCAAGAGCCCCUAUCGACAAAUGGGUUUACGACCUCGAUGUUGGAUCAGGGUAUCCCAGUGGUGCAGCCGCUACUAAAGGUUUGUUUGUUCAACAAUUAAAAC